CUACGGGAGGCUCCAGUGAGGAAUUUUGCGCAAUGGGGGAAACCCUGACGCAGCAACGCCGCGUGAGCGAAGAAGGCCUUCGGGUCGUAAAGCUCUGUCAAGUGGGAAAAAAAUUUUUUGAUCAAUAGUCAAAAGACUUGAUGGUACCACUGGAGGAAGCACCGGCUAACUCCGUGCCAGCAGCCGCGGUAAUACGGAGGGUGCGAGCGUUGUUCGGAUUUACUGGGCGUAAAGAGCGUGUAGGCGGUUUAGCAAGUCAGAUGUGAAAGCCCUGGGCUCAACCCGGGAAGUGCAUUUGAACUGCUUCACUAGAGUAUGGGAGGGGAGAUUGGAAUUCCUGGUGUAGAGGUGAAAUUCGUAGAUAUCAGGAGGAACACCCGUGGCGAAGGCGAUUCUCUGGACCAAUACUGACGCUGAGACGCGAAAGCGUGGGGAGCAAACAGGAUUAGAUACCCUCGUAGUC
This 463-nucleotide ribosomal RNA is filed under the name uncultured bacterium. RNAcentral describes it as "partial 16S ribosomal RNA". It matches the Rfam family "Bacterial small subunit ribosomal RNA", at positions 339 to 795 of the family's 1533-position model. The record is from RNAcentral.